Molecule: ribosomal RNA, 494 nt
Filed under: uncultured bacterium
Lineage: Bacteria
Description: partial 16S ribosomal RNA
Rfam family: Bacterial small subunit ribosomal RNA
Source: RNAcentral
UGACCGCUGGCGGCGUGCCUAAUACAUGCAAGUCGAGCGAACAGACGCGGAGCUUGCUCCUCUGACGUUAGCGGCGGACGGGUGAGUAACACGUGGAUAACCUACCUAUAAGACUGGGAUAACUUCGGGAAACCGGAGCUAAUACCGGAUAAUAUAUUGAACCGCAUGGUUCAAUAGUGAAAGACGGUUUUGCUGUCACUUAUAGAUGGAUCCGCGCCGCAUUAGCUAGUUGGUAAGGUAACGGCUUACCAAGGCGACGAUGCGUAGCCGACCUGAGAGGGUGAUCGGCCACACUGGAACUGAGACACGGUCCAGACUCCUACGGGAGGCAGCAGUAGGGAAUCUUCCGCAAUGGGCGAAAGCCUGACGGAGCAACGCCGCGUGAGUGAUGAAGGUCUUCGGAUCGUAAAACUCUGUUAUUAGGGAAGAACAAAUGUGUAAGUAACUAUGCACGUCUUGACGGUACCUAAUCAGAAAGCCACGGCGAACUACGU